UACUUUUCAAAACUGGUUCGGU
RNAcentral lists this non-coding RNA (22 nucleotides) under Arabidopsis thaliana (thale cress). Lineage: Eukaryota; Viridiplantae; Streptophyta; Magnoliopsida; Brassicales; Brassicaceae. The record is from RNAcentral.